ACUUGUACCGACUGGAUGAGCAGCGAACGGGUGAGUAACGCGUGGGGAAUCUGCCUUUGAGCGGGGGACAACAUUUGGAAACGAAUGCUAAUACCGCAUAAAAACUUUAAACACAAGUUUUAAGUUUGAAAGAUGCAAUUGCAUCACUCAAAGAUGAUCCCGCGUUGUAUUAGCUAGUUGGUGAGGUAAAGGCUCACCAAGGCGAUGAUACAUAGCCGACCUGAGAGGGUGAUCGGCCACAUUGGGACUGAGACACGGCCCAAACUCCUACGGGAGGCAGCAGUAGGGAAUCUUCGGCAAUGGACGAAAGUCUGACCGAGCAACGCCGCGUGAGUGAAGAAGGUUUUCGGAUCGUAAAACUCUGUUGGUAGAGAAGAACGUUGGUGAGAGUGGAAAGCUCAUCAAGUGACGGUAACUACCCAGAAAGGGACGGCUAACUACGUGCCAGCAGCCGCGGUAAUACGUAGGUCCCGAGCGUUGUCCGGAUUUAUUGGGCGUAAAGCGAGCGCAGGUGGUUUAUUAAGUCUGGUGUAAAAGGCAGUGGCUCAACCAUUGUAUGCAUUGGAAACUGGUAGACUUGAGUGCAGGAGAGGAGAGUGGAAUUCCAUUGGUUAGCGGGU
RNAcentral lists this ribosomal RNA (620 nucleotides) under Lactococcus lactis. RNAcentral's name for it is "bacterial SSU rRNA". It matches the Rfam family "Bacterial small subunit ribosomal RNA", at positions 73 to 683 of the family's 1533-position model. The record is from RNAcentral. Lineage: Bacteria; Bacillati; Bacillota; Bacilli; Lactobacillales; Streptococcaceae.